UACGUAGGGGGCUAGCGUUGUCCGGAUUUAUUGGGCGUAAAGAGCGUGUAGGCGGCCAGGUAGGUCUGCUGUGAAAACUCGAGGCUCAACCUCGAGACGUCGGCGGAAACCAUCUGGCUAGAGUCCGGAAGAGGAGAAUGGAAUUCCCGGUGUAGCGGUGAAAUGCGCAGAUAUCGGGAAGAACACCCGUGGCGAAGGCGGUUCUCUGGGACGGUACUGACGCUGAGACGCGAAAGCGUGGGGAGCAAACAGG
This 253-nucleotide ribosomal RNA is filed under the name uncultured bacterium. Its description in RNAcentral is "partial 16S ribosomal RNA". It matches the Rfam family "Bacterial small subunit ribosomal RNA", at positions 524 to 776 of the family's 1533-position model. The record is from RNAcentral.